This is a long non-coding RNA of Macrobrachium nipponense, 604 nucleotides long. RefSeq lists it as uncharacterized. The record is from RefSeq and is a predicted model, not a curated record. NCBI's taxonomy places the organism in Eukaryota, Metazoa, Arthropoda, Malacostraca, Decapoda, Palaemonidae. The transcript has 3 exons.
UAAAGAACGAAUACUCGAAUAGUCUAUUUGAUUUCCGAAAUUCCGAUACAAUUUCAAGUGACUUAAACUUAGUCUUAGAUCUUACUUCUUUAGAAAGCUGGAGUUUUAGCUCCGUAUUAUCGAGAAAUAAUAAAUUAGAAAAGCAAAUUGUAUAUGGUAUGCGAUAUAAUUUCAACUUCAAUAGAAUAUCUGUAUUCUAGAUUAUGAAAUAUUUUAAUCAAAGAAAUUGAAGCCAAGGAAGCAUUGGCGGGCUGUGUUCAGCAUCUAGGUACUAACUACUAAGUGAUAUCUGAAGACUGAAGGCAACAUUUCCAUAAUCUAGUAACUGACGGCUAACCACAACCUAAAUUCAAGAGCUAGGAUGGCAUUGCGGGGGUGGACAAGAGUCGUGGAAUUGGCUGGUUUAGCUCCUGCUCCUUUUGUGGGAUGAUUUUGUCUGACUUUGGAGCCAAUGUUAUUCGUGUUGACAAACCCAAAGGCCCCCAUAUUGAUCGUUCAGGACGUGGAAAACGCUCAGUGGUUUUAGACCUCAAGAAACCAGAAGGGAUAAAUAUUGUCAAGAGGAUGUGUGCCAAAGCUGAUGUUUCUUAUUGAGCCUUACAGA